This 1767-nucleotide ribosomal RNA is filed under the name metagenome. RNAcentral's name for it is "SSU rRNA". It matches the Rfam family "Eukaryotic small subunit ribosomal RNA". The record is from RNAcentral.
CCUGGUUGAUCCUGCCAGUAGUCAUAUGCUUGUCUCAAAGAUUAAGCCAUGCAUGUCUAAGCACACGCCCUUGAAUGGCAAAGCCGCACAUGGCUCAUUACAACAGCCAUAGUUUAUUAGAUCGUACUUUCCUACUUGGAUAACUGUGGUAAUUCUAGAGCUAAUACACGCAGCAAAGCUCGGACUCACGAACGAGCGCAUUUAUUAGAGCAAAACCAAUCGGGCUUCGGUCCGUUUUUUUGGUGAAUCUGAACAACUCUGCAGAUCGCACGGUCUCGCACCGGCGACGCAUCUUUCAAAUGUCUGCCUUAUCAACUUUCGAUGGUAGUUUAUACGCCUACCAUGGUUGUAACGGGUAACGGAGAAUAAGGGUUCGACUCCGGAGAGGGAGCCUGAGAAACGGCUACCACAUCCAAGGAAGGCAGCAGGCACGCAAAUUACCCACUCCCGGCACGGGGAGGUAGUGACGAAAAAUAACGAGGCGGUUCUCUACGAGGCCCGCCAUCGGAAUGGGUACAAUUUAAAUCCUUUAACGAGGAUCUAUUGGAGGGCAAGUCUGGUGCCAGCAGCCGCGGUAAUUCCAGCUCCAAUAGCGUAUAUUAAAGUUGUUGCGGUUAAAAAGCUCGUAGUUGGAUCUGCGGUCAAGGAAUGUGGUCCUCCGACGGAUGGUUACUGCUUUUCCUGACCUAACUACUUCGGUUUUCCCUUGAUGCUCUUAACCGAGUGUCUUGGGCGACCGAAACGUUUACUUUGAAAAAAUUAGAGUGCUCAAAGCAGGCGUUCAGCCUGAAUAGUGGUGCAUGGAAUAAUAAAUGAGGAUCUCGGUUCUAUUUUGUUGGUAUUGGAUUGAGAUAAUGAUCGACGGGGAUAGACGGGGGCAUUCGUAUUGCGACGUUAGAGGUGAAAUUCUUGGAUCGUCGCCAGACGAACAACUGCGAAGGCAUUUGCCAAGAAUAUGCUCUUCAAUCAAGAACGAAAGCGAGAGGCGCGAACGCGAUCAGAUACCGCGGUAGUUCUCGCCGUAAACGAUGCCAACUAGCGAUCCGCCGGAGUUAAACGAUGACUCGGCGGGCAGCUUCCGGGAAACCAAAGUUUUUGGGUUCCGGGGGAAGUAUGGUUGCAAAGCUGAAACUUAAAGGAAUUGACGGAAGGGCACCACCAGGAGUGGAGCCUGCGGCUUAAUUUGACCCAACACGGGGAAACUCACCCGGCCCGGACACCGUAAGGAUUGACAGAUUGAGAGCUCUUUCUUGAUUCGGUGGGUGGUGGUGCAUGGCCGUUCUUAGUUGGUGGAGCGAUUUGUCUGGUUAAUUCCGAUAACGAACGAGACUCUAGCCUGCUAAAUAGACAGUGAAUCGUUAGUUCACUGUACUUCUUAGAGGGACAAGCGGCUUCUAGCUGCACGAGAUUGAGCAAUAACAGGUCUGUGAUGCCCUUAGAUGUUCGGGGCUGCACGCGCGCUACACUGAAGGAAUCAACAUGCAUUCUACCUUACCCGAAAGGGUUUGGUAACCCGUUGAAACUCCUUCGUGAUUGGGAUAGGGACUUGCAAUUAUGGCCCUUGAACGAGGAAUUCCCAGUAAGUGCGGGUCAUCAGCUCGCGUUGAUUACGUCCCUGCCCUUUGUACACACCGCCCGUCGCUACUACCUAUUGGAUGUUACAUUGAACUGUUCGGACCGAUGUCGAAGCGGCUUCACGGCUGCUUCGGUCGUUUGGAAAGAUCCGUUAGAUCUGACAUCUAGAGGAAGUAAAUUCGUAACAAGGUU